ACACUCCUGCGGGAGGCAGCAGUGGGGAAUUUUGGACAAUGGGCGAAAGCCUGAUCCAGCCAUGCCGCGUGCAGGAUGAAGGCCUUCGGGUUGUAAACUGCUUUUGUACGGAACGAAACGGCCUUUUCUAAUAAAGAGGGCUAAUGACGGUACCGUAAGAAUAAGCACCGGCUAACUACGUGCCAGCAGCCGCGGUAAUACGUAGGGUGCAAGCGUUAAUCGGAAUUACUGGGCGUAAAGCGUGCGCAGGCGGUUAUGUAAGACAGUUGUGAAAUCCCCGGGCUCAACCUGGGAACUGCAUCUGUGACUGCAUAGCUAGAGUACGGUAGAGGGGGAUGGAAUUCCGCGUGUAGCAGUGAAAUGCGUAGAUAUGCGUAGGAACACCGAUGGCGAAGGCAAUCCCCUGGACCUGUACUGACGCUCAUGCACGAAAGCGUGGGGAGCAAACAGGAUUAGAAACCCGAGUAGUCCCAUGAU
This 477-nucleotide ribosomal RNA is filed under the name uncultured organism. RNAcentral describes it as "partial 16S ribosomal RNA". It matches the Rfam family "Bacterial small subunit ribosomal RNA", at positions 333 to 801 of the family's 1533-position model. The record is from RNAcentral.